This 497-nucleotide ribosomal RNA is filed under the name uncultured bacterium. RNAcentral's name for it is "partial 16S ribosomal RNA". It matches the Rfam family "Bacterial small subunit ribosomal RNA", at positions 28 to 507 of the family's 1533-position model. The record is from RNAcentral.
GAUGAACGCUGGCGGCGUGCCUAAUACAUGCAAGUCGAGCGAACGGACGAGAAGCUUGCUUCUCUGAUGUUAGCUGCGGACGGGUGAUUAACACGUGGAUAACCUACCUAUAAGACUGGGAUAACUUCGGGAAACCGGAGCUAAUACCUGAUAAUAUUUUGAACCGCAUGGUUCAAAAGUGAAAGACGGUCUUGCUGUCACUUAUAGAUGGAUCCGCGCUGCAUUAGCUAGUUGGUAAGGUAACGGCUUACCAAGGCAACGAUGCAUAGCCGACCUGAGAGGGUGAUCGGCCACACUGGAAGUGAGACACGGUCCAGACGCCUACGGGAGGCAGCAGUAGGGAAUCUUGCGCAAUAGGCGAAAGCCUGACGGAGCAACGCCGAGUGAGUGAUGAAGGUCCUCGGAUCGUAAAACUCUGUUAUUAGGGAAGAACAUAUGUGUAAGUAACUGUGCACAUCUUGACGGUACCUAAUCAGAAAGCCACGGCUAACUACGUG